AAGUGUGGACGCCAGUCUGCAUGGAGCCGACCUUGAAAUACCACCCUUUAAUGUUUGAUGUUCUAACGUUGGCCCCUGAUCGGGGUUGCGGACAGUGUCUGGUGGGUAGUUUGACUGGGGCGGUCUCCUCCUAAAGAGUAACGGAGGAGCACGAAGGUUGGCUAAUCCUGGUCGGACAUCAGGAGGUUAGUGCAAUGGCAUAAGCCAGCUUGACUGCGAGCGUGACGGCGCGAGCAGGUGCGAAAGCAGGUCAUAGUGAUCCGGUGGUUCUGAAUGGAAGGGCCAUCGCUCAACGGAUAAAAGGUACUCCGGGGAUAACAGGCUGAUACCGCCCAAGAGUUCAUAUCGACGGCGGUGUUUGGCACCUCGAUGUCGGCUCAUCACAUCCUGGGGCUGAAGUAGGUCCCAAGGGUAUGGCUGUUCGCCAUUUAAAGUGGUACGCGAGCUGGGUUUAGAACGUCGUGAGACAGUUCGGUCCCUAUCUGCCGUGGGCGCUGGAGAACUGAGGGGGGCUGCUCCUAGUACGAGAGGACCGGAGUGGACGCAUCACUGGUGUUCGGGUUGUCAUGCCAAUGGCACUGCCCGGUAGCUAAAUGCGGAAGAGAUAAGUGCUGAAAGCAUCUAAGCACGAAACUUGCC
Molecule: ribosomal RNA, 639 nt
Filed under: Escherichia coli
Lineage: Bacteria; Pseudomonadati; Pseudomonadota; Gammaproteobacteria; Enterobacterales; Enterobacteriaceae
Description: partial 23S ribosomal RNA
Rfam family: Bacterial large subunit ribosomal RNA
Source: RNAcentral